GUGAGGAAUUUUCCGCAAUGGGCGAAAGCCUGACGGAGCAAUGCCGCGUGAAGGAUGAAGGCCUAUGGGUUGUAAACUUCUUUUCUCAGAAAAGAAUUAUGACGGUAUCUGAGGAAUAAGCAUCGGCUAACUCUGUGCCAGCAGCCGCGGUAAGACAGAGGAUGCAAGCGUUAUCCGGAAUGAUUGGGCGUAAAGCGUCUGUAGGUUGUUUAAAAAGUAUUCUGUCAAAGAUUAGGGCUUAACCCUAGAUAGGCAGAAUAAACUUUUAAGCUAGAGUUUGGUAGAGGCAGAGGGAAUUCCCGGUGGAGCGGUGAAAUGCGUAGAUAUCGGGAGGAACACCAAAGGCGAAGGCACUCUGCUGGGCCAAUACUAACACUGAGAGACGAAAGCGAGGGGAGCAAAUGGGAUUAGAUACCCGUGUACC
This 424-nucleotide ribosomal RNA is filed under the name uncultured bacterium. RNAcentral's name for it is "partial 16S ribosomal RNA". It matches the Rfam family "Bacterial small subunit ribosomal RNA", at positions 354 to 794 of the family's 1533-position model. The record is from RNAcentral.